Molecule: ribosomal RNA, 439 nt
Filed under: uncultured bacterium
Lineage: Bacteria
Description: partial 16S ribosomal RNA
Rfam family: Bacterial small subunit ribosomal RNA
Source: RNAcentral
CCUACGGGAGGCAGCAGUGGGGAAUAUUGCACAAUGGGGGAAACCCUGAUGCAGCGACGCCGCGUGAGUGAAGAAGUAUUUCGGUAUGUAAAGCUCUAUCAGCAGGGAAGAAAAUGACGGUACCUGACUAAGAAGCCCCGGCUAACUACGUGCCAGCAGCCACGGUAAUACGGAGGGUGCGAGCGUAAGCCGGAUUUAUUGGGUUUAAAGGGUGCGUAGGCGGAAUAUCCAGUAAGCGGUAAAAAUUCGGGGCUCAACCCCGUCGUGCCGUUGAAACUGAUGUUCUUGAGUGGGCGAGAAGUAAGCGGAAUGCGUGGUGUAGCGGUGAAAUGCAUAGAUAUCACGCAGAACUCCGAUUGCGAAGGCAGCAUACCGGCGCCCAACUGACGCUGAAGCACGAAAGCGUGGGUAUCGAACAGGAUUAGAUACCCGGGUAGUC